UACGUAGGUGACAAGCGUUAUCCGGAAUUACUGGGCGUAAAGCGCACGCAGGCGGUGUGGUAAGUCUGAUGUGAAAUCUCCUGGCUUAACUGGGAGGGGUCAUUGGAAACUGCCGUACUUGAGGCGAUGAGAGGGGUGUAGAAUUCCCGGUGUAGUGGUGGAAUGCGUAGAUAUCGGGAGGAAUACAAGUGGCGAAAGCGACACCCUGGCAUUAGCCUGACGCUCAUGUGCGAAGGCGUGGGGAGCGAACGGG
RNAcentral lists this ribosomal RNA (253 nucleotides) under uncultured bacterium. Its description in RNAcentral is "partial 16S ribosomal RNA". It matches the Rfam family "Bacterial small subunit ribosomal RNA", at positions 524 to 776 of the family's 1533-position model. The record is from RNAcentral.